AAUUCUGUAAAGGCUGAGAGAGGUAAGGAAGCUAAAGAAGCUAGGAAGCUGACAGAGGUUUGUUCAUACAGUUUAAGGAAAAACGCUGUAACAUAAAAGUGCAAGGUGGGCUAGGUGUGGUGGCUCACGCCUGUAGUCCCAGCACUUUGUGAGGCCGAGGUGGGUGGAUCAUGAGGUCAAAGAUCGAGACCAUCCUGGCUAACAUAGUGAAACCCCGUCUCUACUAAAAAUACAAAACAUUAGCAGGGCAUGGUGGCGAGCCUCUGUAGUCCCAGCUACUGGGGAGGCUGAGGCAGAAGAAUGGCGUGAACCCGGGAGGCGGAGCUUGCAGUGAGCUGAGAUUGCGCCACUGCACUCCAGCCUGGGUGACAGUACGAGACUCCAUCUCAAAAACAAACAAACAAAAAGCACAAGGUGAAAUAGCAAGUGCUUCUGUAGAAGCUGCAGCAAGUUAUGCAGAAGAUCUAGCAAAGAUGGUGCCAGAAGCAGGAUCUGAAGUGGAGAUUCUAGUGAGCCCCACCAGGAGCGCUGAGUGAACCUGCAAGGCACCUGCAGGACGCACUUGCAUCAUUGAUCUCAUAGAGAGCCUGGAGAUGGUAGGGCAACCAUCUUUCCCGGAGACCACAUGUUGAAACUCCUAAUCAGAGGUUGGAUUAAAGACGACGAGACCCAUCUGGGGGUAAAUCUAAACCUUGUCAGUUUGAUAUUGGGCGCUAAGCAGGGUGGCUCAUGUCUAUGUUUUAUUACAUGUAUUUUGCUCUGGCCAGAACGAAAAAAGGUAACUUUCCUUUAUGAUGUGGCUUGGCCCCCAAGGGUGAUGAUGCCACAGGUCAGAUCACUAGGGCCGCUCAGGUAAAGGGAACCCAGAGGCCUGGCAUGCUGGCAAAAGGGUAAGAAUUUCUUACUAGUCAGAUUUCUGGCUUCUCUCUCUGUGCAAACGGUUGUAUGAAUGGUUAAAAAUCACUGCUUAUCUCCUCUUAAAGUUUUACUGUGGAAAAAUAAUUCUGAGACUAGUUCUAUGCUGUAGUUCAUCUGCGUUAUUUUGUGCUAUGAAUUCAUUUUUCUGUGUCAAAGGGUACCUUAUAAAACAUGGGCUCCGCACCCCAUAAGCCGGCUGCUCAAGAUGGCCCAGCAAGCUGGUCAGUAACAAACUCUGCUGCAAGUCCCUAAAACAAACAAAAAACUGGAUGGGGUCUCCAUCUUUUUUAUGUCCCUGGGAGUUUGACCUUAUAACCAUGUGGCAGGAUUUUCUCUUGGUCUCCACCUUCCAGGGAACAGGAAUUUUAGGGUUUAUGUCAUAGUUUGCUCUAAAAAUUAUCUGGAGUAAUUAAAACUCUUUGUAAGCUCAAAAUUAACUACUCCAAACUUCCUCUGGGAAGAGCAGCAGAGAUUUACCUGUGCUAUAUAGCGUGGUAGCUAAGGAUUUUGCCCUUUCACACUGGCGGUCUGGGUUCAAUUCCCUUCUUAGAAAGUGAGUCCUUUCUGGUUUAAUAUCUGCAUGACCUUGUCUGUUCUUUUCCUUCACGGACUAUCUUAAAUUUUCUUUAUCUGGGAACCCGGGAGGUUACCUUUGGUAAAGAUCAAAAGCCAGAAAUAUCGACCAGCUGACCUGGCUAAAAUCAGGUAAUAAGAACUUUUAAAAGGACUUUAUUAAAGAGUGCUAUGGUUAAAAGUCAGCUUAAUUAAGUGUGAAUAUUCAAGCUCUAACAGCCUGGACUCCUUGGAGAAAACAAGAGGUGCCAGAGACCCUUUUCCUGGCCCUGUUCUUCCAAGGACUCCACCAUAAAGUCAAUAACCAAUUAAACUUAUAAAUCUUACAACUACUAUAGUAAUCUUCUGUCUGUGUAAUUAUAUAUGCAUUGUGUGUAAUGUUUAUAUAAGAGCUCUAAUUAAUUGGUUUAAACAAAAAUAAACACUUAAAUAUAUUGAAAGCAAAAUAAGAACUGUAAUGCCUUUUAGUUCAUGUAACUUUAGUAAUCUUUGGGAAAUAAAAACAGCUUUAGGCCAGGUACCGUGGCUCACGCAUUUAAUCCCAGCACUUUGGGAGGCCAAGGUGGGUGGAUCACCUGAGGUCGGAUCACCUGGCCAAUGUGAAACCCUGUAUCUACUAAAAAUGUAAAAAUUAGCCAAGUGUCAUGGCAGGUGCCUGUAAUCCCGGCUACUUGGGAGGCUGAGGCAGGAGAAUCCCUUGAACACAGGAGGCGGAGGUUGCAGUGAGCCAAGAUUGUGCCAUUGCACUCCAGCCUGGACAACAAGAGUGAAACUGUCUCAAAAAAACACAAACAAACAAACAAACAAAAAAACCAAAAAAAAAAAA
This 2317-nucleotide long non-coding RNA is filed under the name Macaca mulatta (Rhesus monkey). Its description in RNAcentral is "lncRNA (ENSMMUG00000058772.1)". The record is from RNAcentral. Lineage: Eukaryota; Metazoa; Chordata; Mammalia; Primates; Cercopithecidae.